This 65-nucleotide transfer RNA is filed under the name Amphisbaena schmidti. RNAcentral describes it as "tRNA-Ser". The record is from RNAcentral. Lineage: Eukaryota; Metazoa; Chordata; Lepidosauria; Squamata; Amphisbaenidae.
AAGAAGCGUAUGAACACCAGGAGCUGCUAACUCCACCAACCAAAACUAAAAUUUUUGGGCCUCUU